This is a non-coding RNA of Lolium perenne, 1421 nucleotides long. Lineage: Eukaryota; Viridiplantae; Streptophyta; Magnoliopsida; Poales; Poaceae. The record is from RefSeq and is a predicted model, not a curated record.
CAAUUCUUUCUGAUAUCUAAGAAUAGUAAACUGCCUGUACUGUUUGAUCAAGUAGCCUCAUCACGUGGAAGCUUGAAGCAUGCACACUUGUUCUGCAUACCAUAUUGUCUGAACCCUCUAUCUGGUCAGAGAGAAGCAGGUCUGGGCACUACACUGCACAGAGGUACACUUUUGACCAAGUGUAUGAAGUUGUUGGAGCUUCAGUGUGGCCUCAUAUCUCCUUAGUUUAGCCAGUAAAAGAUUCAGAUAUGUAUUCUAGCAGAAUAUCUUUCCAUGUGGCAUCUGCACGUAGAUAAUGUACUCCAAUAAACGCUUCUAUGUAGCUUUGUCUUAUUGAGGUUUAAUUUUCUCAACACCACUGUAUAUUUUGUUUGGUGCCUUGGUCUCGGAGAACCUAAUGAACCUACUUGAUGUCAAAGGUAUUAAGGUAGAAGAAUCGUUUGUAUACACCUUCGUGCUUAUUAUUGAUUGGGUUUAAAAUGCAUUUACAAUGCGUGCUUUUUCAUGUAUAUAGACACUACUGACAUGGUUAUGUACCUGAUCUGUAUUGUUUCCAAAAUUAGGUUGGCCCAAUUUAUUUGUUCAUUUUCAAUAUAAGUUCAGCUACUUAUUUCUAAAUUUUCCUUUUUAUUUAGGCUGCUAAUGCUUCGCUCUGCUCGCUAUGGAUAUGUCGGUCGGCGCCAACUUCUUCCUCCCCAUCGGCCAGGUGACCUUGUUGACUCCUCCCUCUUCACCGGCCAGGCCAACUCGCCGGCACCUCCCACCUCACCGGCCCAGGAGGGAUCCCCUCCCUCAAUGUCGCCGCGUCCUGUGCUCGCCGCCGUCCAUGAGCCGAUUCCGCAGUGCAGAUGAGCCUGAAGAGGUUGUCCUACUUCAGGGUAGUGAGCUGCAGCAUUUUGACGCUCAGUUGGCGCUGGAGGUUAUUCAGGCACCAUCCACAAAUUAAGUAAGAUAUAGCUUUCUUCACCGUAAUUUUGUCAAGGGGUCCGCAAUGAAAUGGACAAUUACGCCAAGAUAGGCACAUAAGAAGAUCCUCAAGAUCAGCGAUGGAGAUCGCGACGGUGCAUCGACGAGCUUGAUGAGAUGGCGCAUUGACAAGCAAAAAGUCAUGGAGAUUCCCGCUGUUCGUGAGGGGUUGCGUGAUGCGGCUAUGGGGCGGCGGAGGUCCACACAUCAGACGUAUCUAGGCUGUGCGCACAGAUGAUGUUGAGGCUCCGUGACCUCUACAACCCGAGCAAAACAGCAGCGGUUCGCCACUUCAGCUGUUACUCUACUCCAUCCACUAAAUUUUCUUCAGUUGAAUAUCUGCAUAUAUAUGGUGAUGAUUUUAGUGGGCCACAAGGUGUUGGCAAUCGUUGGGUUCUGUAUUCUACAAAAUAUCAGCAGCUUGUUUAAUCUUCAGUUGUGGUGCUUUCAUGUUA